AUUGCUUUUAGCAGUCUCAGUGUGGCGGCAAAACCUGAGGAAAACCAGUAUCUGUUCUUAUCAGCUUUAAUACCUGAUAUGUCCUUUACUUAAACUGAUUUUUGGAUCAGAGAGUUAGAACAGGGCCUUGCUCCAUCCACCCCACAUGUUGUCCUGGUAUUGCAGUGUUUCUAGGAAUGGUGCAUUAAGC
Stegostoma tigrinum is the source of this 190-nucleotide small nuclear RNA. RefSeq annotates it as U2 spliceosomal RNA. The record is from RefSeq and is a predicted model, not a curated record. NCBI's taxonomy places the organism in Eukaryota, Metazoa, Chordata, Chondrichthyes, Orectolobiformes, Stegostomatidae. The transcript has a single exon.